UACGAAGGGUGCAAGCGUUACUCGGAAUUACUGGGCGUAAAGCGUGCGCAGGCGGUUGUGCAAGACAGGUGUGAAAUCCCCGGGCUUAACCUGGGAACUGCACUUGUGACUGCACGGCUGGAGUACGGCAGAGGGGGAUGGAAUUCCGCGUGUAGCAGUGAAAUGCGUAGAUAUGCGGAGGAACACCGAUGGCGAAGGCAGUCCCCUGGGCCUGUACUGACGCUCAUGCACGAAAGCGUGGGGAGCAAACAGG
RNAcentral lists this ribosomal RNA (253 nucleotides) under uncultured bacterium. Its description in RNAcentral is "partial 16S ribosomal RNA". It matches the Rfam family "Bacterial small subunit ribosomal RNA", at positions 524 to 776 of the family's 1533-position model. The record is from RNAcentral.